GGUUCAACUAAGAUCAAAUGGGCCGCCCACCUCCAUUUACCAUAUUCCAUCAAGCGACUCGACUCGGCGCAGAUCUCACAUCCAUCUCGCGAGAUCGGGGAGGGAGAGGGGAAUAAGAAGCAGCGCAAAACCCUACUUCCACUGCUGUCCUGCCCGUGCCUGUUUCCCCAGAUCUGCGAUCCGGUCUAGGCGAGAUGGCGAGCACGGGGCGGUCGAUGCUGCUGUCGCUGCUGGUGUUCGCGGUGACGCUGUCGCUGCUCGAGAUGUACAGGGCCAAGUUCGCCUCGUCGGAGCUCAUGACCAUCGCUGGCGGAUUCGUCUGCUCCCUCCUCUUCCUCCUGCUCCUCACCUUUAUUGGGAACUACCAAGAGGCUAGUGGAGUUAGAACUGGCUGGGGUGCAGGUGUGUACGUUGUUGUCGCAGAACUUGUUGCACUUAUUGUAGCUGGCACUGUCCACCGUGUCUGUAUCACAACAUGCUUCUUGUUUUCAGCUGGACUCCUUUACGAGGUUGACAAGCUCUCUGGUAUGAUCCUUGCUAGGAGCGAGUCUAAAGUGAGGCGGCAUUGAGCACAGAAGAGAAGAUAUUCAUGUACGAUGACUUGUUUUGUAGAUCAAAUCGAAAUGUUCACAAUUCACACCCUAUAUUAGACUCGAAACCCAUUCAGCUACUUUGGCAGGCAUGUAGGUCUUGAGUUCUGGAUACUGGUGCGUUUGCACCGAGGUCACAUUCUGAUAUUUGUCUGACGAGUUGACUAGUCGCGCCUCGCCUGGUUGCCGGCGUUGAAGUUUUGCUCGAUUUGUUUGGAUUUGAUUUUGUCGAGCGACAAGCGUGCCAGCUCAAUUGUGUUCUUGUGGCGAGACGAAAUGCGGCAAAGAAGCUGUCAAUACCAAACCCAGGAAGUGUUCAUCCGCAGCGUGCCGGCCGAGUAAAAUGCCCGCGGCGUCGGGUCGGCUGACGUGCGAGCGUGCGUGAGCGCUGCGCGGACAGCCUCCCCGGCCGUGCAGCGCCUACGCGCGCGGCGGCGGAUUCAGCCGGAGCUGGUCAGCCCUCGACGGGGAGAGCUCGCUCGCGUCGCAUGGAUUGUGUUGCAGAGUAAUCGAGGCAUAAUAGAGUGAAAGUGAAAACUCUGGUUGAUUUCAUUAAUUAGUCAUAUAUUUAAAUAAAAUGAAGGGUUAAAUUCA
Phragmites australis (common reed) is the source of this 1184-nucleotide RNA transcript. RefSeq lists it as uncharacterized. NCBI's taxonomy places the organism in Eukaryota, Viridiplantae, Streptophyta, Magnoliopsida, Poales, Poaceae. The transcript has 6 exons. The record is from RefSeq and is a predicted model, not a curated record.